AGGAAUCUGCCCUAGAGUGGGGGAUAACCCGGGGAAACCCGGGCUAAUACCGCAUACACUCUCUGGAGGAAAGCGGGGGACCUUUGGGCCUCGCGCUCUAGGAGGAGCCUAUAUCAGAUUAGCUAGUUGGUAGGGUAAAGGCCUACCAAGGCGACGAUCUGUAGCUGGUCUGAGAGGAUGAUCAGCCACACUGGGACUGAGACACGGCCCAGACUCCUACGGGAGGCAGCAGUGGGGAAUAUUGGACAAUGGGCGCAAGCCUGAUCCAGCAAUACCGCGUGUGUGAAGAAGGCCUUCGGGUUGUAAAGCACUUUUACUAGGGAAGAAGGGGUUUUAGUUAAUACCUAAGACCAUUGACGGUACCUAGAGAAUAAGCACCGGCUAACUCUGUGCCAGCAGCCGCGGUAAGACAGAGGGUGCAAGCGUUAAUCGGAAUUACUGGGCGUAAAGCGUUCGUAGGUGGUUCAUUAAGUUGGAUGUGAAAGCCCCGGGCUCAACCUGGGAAGGCCAUUCAAGACUGGUGAACUCGAGGUAGGUAGAGGAUAGUAGAAUUUCAGGU
RNAcentral lists this ribosomal RNA (559 nucleotides) under uncultured bacterium. RNAcentral describes it as "bacterial SSU rRNA". It matches the Rfam family "Bacterial small subunit ribosomal RNA", at positions 119 to 674 of the family's 1533-position model. The record is from RNAcentral.